This 830-nucleotide ribosomal RNA is filed under the name uncultured bacterium. RNAcentral's name for it is "bacterial SSU rRNA". It matches the Rfam family "Bacterial small subunit ribosomal RNA", at positions 1 to 843 of the family's 1533-position model. The record is from RNAcentral.
CAUAUUAAAGUUUGAUCCUGGCUCAGGAAAAAGAAGGGAGGGGACAUAAGACAUGCAAGUCGAACGGGAGAAGACUGUAAAAUUUAUCUACUGGUUGGACACCGUGGCGGACGGGUGAGUAACACGUAAGCAACCUGCCUAUAAGAGGGGAAUAACAGUGAGAAAUUACUGAUAAUACCGCAUAAGCUGGAGGUAUCGCAUGAUACAUUCAGAAAAGAUUUAUCGCUUAUAGAUGGGCUUGCGUCUGAUUAGCUAGUUGGUGAGAUAACAGCUCACCAAGGCGACGAUCAGUAGCCGGAUUGAGAGGUUGAACGGCCACAUUGGGACUGAGACACGGCCCAGACUCCUACGGGAGGCAGCAGUCGGGAAUAUUGCACAAUGGAGGAAACUCUGAUGCAGUGACACCGCGUAUAGGAAGAAGGUCUUAGGAUUGUAAGCUAUUGUCGUGUGAGAAGAAAAUGACCAUCACAGGAGGAAGCCCUGGCUAAAUAUGUGCCAGCAGCCGCGGUAAUACAUAUGGGGCGAGCGUUAUCCGGAUUUAUUGGGUGUAAAGGGUGCGUAGGCGGGAAAAUAAGUCAGUAUGUGAAAUCCCUCGGCUCAACUGAGGAACUGCAACUGAAACUAUUUUUCUUGAGUGUUGAAGGGCAAAGUGGAAUUCCUAGUGUAUCGGUGAAAUGCGUAAAGAUUAUGAGGAACACCAGUGGUGAAGGCGACUUUUCUGGUCAACAACUGACGCUGAGGCACGAAAGUGUGUGGAGCAUACGGAAUUAGAUACCCUGAUAGUCCCCCGUAAACGAUGCAUACUAGGAGUUGGCACAAUCAUUUGUCGG